AAAAGCGGGAGGGGAGGGGGAAGAGGUUAGAAGAGAGCAGAGGCAGAGAAGCAGGUACAGUGCCCUCUGCCCUUCACUGGGGCUCGAGGAGGCCGCCUGCGCGGGCAGCUCCAGGCUCAUCCCUGUGGAGGCUGCCCACGGGGGCUGGUGUCGUGCCCAGAAUAAACCAGAUGAUGCCCUGGACAUUUAGUUUACAAUCAAGGCAGCACACGGGCCCCCAGUAGAGUCAGUGGGUCAGGGUGUGGUUCUCUGCCCAGAAAAGCAAAUUGCAAAAAACCCUGGUAUGGUUUGGGCCCGUUCUGUAAAAUGAAUAACAUAAAAUAGUAUUCACUUAGGCAAAAAGUCUGGAGAAAAAUCCCACAAACUCAGGGGUGGUCAUCUCUGGAGGGCUCAGGUUAGAGGAAUUUUUGACUUCCUGUGUUCUGUAUAUUCCUACAAUGUUUAAAUGUUUAACGAUGCACAUGUAAUGCUUUGGUAACCAGAGCGACCGACAAAGAAAUGUUUUUAAAGAGAGGGGGUAUCCGGACCCUCCACCUGUUAUCCUCUCCAGGCUUCCCAAACAACCAACACGUGCCAGCAGCCCCACACCCUGUGUUACCAGGAAGUGUUUAUGCCUCAGAAGGAUUUUGUCCUGAGUGUGCAUGAUUAAUUAUUAAAGAGAUGUUGUCAAUCCCGUCAGAUAAGUUCAGUGUUUUGUGUGAGGAUUGAAGUGCUAAGGCCUUCGUCUCCUGACUUUGUGCACUGUUGCCUAGGUGUUAGUUUAAAAAAAAUAUAUGCAACGAGGCGAAAUUGUGUGAUUUUGUUGUUUUCACGAGUGUCUCGAUGCUGAGACCUGAAAUGCCUUUACUAUUUGCGACAGCUACAGUGCUUUCCUGAUCUUCAAGCUCAGGAAAAUAGGUCACUGUUAUAAGUACUGAUUCGGUGAGAAAGAGAGGCUGGGUGAGAUGCAAAAUCAAAGAGAAAAAUGCACGAUCCGAACAACUGAGCUGCACUGAUGACAGGCGGAAAAGGAGGCCACAGGAGGGGAUGCCGAGGAGUGAGAGCAAUCGAGGCGACAUCCCAGCAGAGAGAGGUUGAAGUCCCCGCCCAGCCGUGGCUGUAGGCUCCGGAGAGGGUGCUGAUCGGAGCUGGGAGGGAGGCCCAACCUAUUCCAACUCUGGACUCUGCCCAGGCAUUUCCACUGAAAGGAGAAGAUGAGCUGAAAGUCGAGAAGGUUGGACCCAGCUUGUCCCCAGGGAAACGCACACCUCCAUCUGUCCCUGAGAGUGACUUAUUCACCACAAAUAUAAAGGUCUGACUCAUGGAGGACAAUGCAUCAAGACGAAGAGAGUCCAUUUCUCUCAGAUCCAUGGCCAAUGGUCUGGAGAACGCAGGGGCCGAGUUCUUGGAAAACCUGGAGGAAGGCUGGACCCCUGGCAGUGACUGGAGUCCUGCAGUGGAUGGAAGGAGCGAGGCCGGUCCGGAGCCCUCUGCAGGAUGGAGGAUCCUGCAGCCGGCCCUGGGAGUGAGACGCUUCUGCAGGGAGCACGUGCGGCUGUGGAGGUGGAUCUGCAUAGGCCUGCUCUGUACUGCAUUCGCUGCCUUCCUGCUGAUUGCCUGUCUCCUGGAUUUCCAGAGGGCCCUGGCACUGUUUGUCCUCACCUGUGUGGUCCUUGUCUUCCUGGCCCACAGCCUGCUAAAGAGGCUGCUGGGGCCGAAGCUGUGGAGGCGUGUCGAGCCUCUGGGGCAUUCCCGCCUGAACCUCUGGCUUAAGAGGGGUCUAGCCCUCGCUGCUUUCCUGGGCCUGGUCCUGUGGCUGGCUCUGGACACCUCCCGGCGGCCGGAGCAGCUGGUGUCCUUUGCAGGAAUCUGUGUGUUCAUCGGCCUCCUCUUCGCCUGCUCCAAGCAUCACCGUGCAGUGUCCUGGCGGGCCGUGUCCUGGGGCCUUGGGCUACAAUUCAUACUAGGACUCUUCGUCAUUAGAACAGAACCAGGAUUUACUGCGUUCCAGUGGCUGGGCGACCAGAUCCAGAUCUUCCUGCGCUACACCGAGGCCGGCUCCAGCUUCGUGUUUGGGGACACUCUCGUCAAGGAUGUCUUCGCCUUUCAGGUCCUGCCCAUCAUCGUCUUCUUCAGCUGCAUCAUGUCAGUUCUCUACUACGUGGGCCUCAUGCAGUGGGUGAUCCUGAAGAUCGCCUGGCUGAUGCAGGUCACCAUGGGCACCACGGCCACCGAGACCCUGAGUGUGGCUGGAAACAUCUUUGUGAGCCAGACUGAGGCUCCUCUACUGAUCCGGCCCUACCUGGCAGACAUGACACUCUCAGAAAUCCAUGUUGUCAUGACUGGAGGCUACGCCACCAUCGCCGGCAGCCUACUGGGCGCCUACAUCUCCUUUGGGAUUGACGCUGCCUCCUUGAUUGCCGCCUCCGUGAUGGCCGCCCCUUGUGCUUUAGCCCUGUCCAAGCUGGUCUACCCCGAGGUGGAGGAGUCCAAGUUUAGGAGUGAGGAAGGCGUGAAACUGACCUAUGGAGAAGCUCAGAACCUCUUAGAAGCAGCCAGCAGUGGGGCCGCCAUCUCGGUGAGGGUCAUCGCUAACAUCGCAGCCAACCUGAUCGCCUUCCUGGCCGUGCUGGCCUUCAUCAACGCCGCCCUCUCCUGGCUGGGAGACAUGGUGGACGUCCAGGGGCUCAGCUUCCAGCUCAUCUGCUCCUACAUCCUGCGGCCUGUGGCCUUCUUAAUGGGCGUGGCCUGGGAGGACUGCCCAGUGGUGGCUGAGCUGCUGGGAAUCAAGCUGUUCCUGAACGAGUUUGUGGCCUAUCAGGAGCUGUCCCGGUACAAGCAGCGCCGCCUGGCAGGGGCUGAAGAGUGGGUCGGCGCCAAGAAGCAGUGGAUCUCCGUCAGAGCGGAAAUCCUCACAACGUUCGCCCUCUGCGGAUUUGCCAACUUCAGCUCCAUUGGGAUCAUGCUGGGAGGCCUGACCUCCAUGGUCCCCCAAAGGAAGAGCGACUUCUCCCAGAUCGUGCUCCGGGCGCUCUGCACGGGCGCCUGCGUGUCCCUAGUGAAUGCCUGCGUGGCAGGGAUCCUCUACGUGCCCAGGGGGGCUGAGGUCAACUGCACGGCCCUCCUGAACACGAUCCUCAGCAGCAGCAGCUUUGAGGUGUACCAGUGCUGCCGUGAGGCCUUCCAGAGCACCAGCCCGGAGUUCAGCCCCGAGGCCUUGGACAACUGCUGUCGAUUUUACAACCACACGACGUGUGCAUAACGCAGACAGAACCAGAACUCUGUGCCUCCCCAGGAAGCAGCCGUCCCGCCUUUCCCUCUCCAGGCCUCUCCUCCCAGAAGCCACAGGGCUCCAACCUACCUCAGCCGCACAACUGGGGAGGGGGGAUGGGAGGGAUGGGCAAAGACUGAGCAGAUGUGUGAGUAGAUGAAGGCUGCCCCCCACCCCUCGCCCCUUCUGCUCCCCCAUGUCCUACCUCCCACAGUGUGGAUUCUCAGUGUCACCUCUGUCCCCUCCUCUCUCCCCUCCACAUCCAGACAGUACCCUGGUCUUCUCUAUGACCGGCCUUGGGUCUCAUUUGCACCCUUCCCUUCACCCCAGCAUUUCAGUUGCCUCCUUCUGGGUGGGCGCUCGAGUCCCCCAUGGUCACCCUGCCAGACAGGUGUUUUCUCCCAGCGGCCCCUCCUCCUACAUUCAGAGACUCCCCCACUGCCUUCCCCACAGCUCUUCCCAAAUCAGUGUCCAGUGGAACGCUGUCCCACAGGAGUUCAGCAAGGCGAGACAGAAAUUUAUUUUCUCGCAGUUCUGGAGGCUGGAAAUCCAAGAUCGGGGCGCCAGCAUGGUCAGUUUCUGGUGACAACUCUCUUCCUGGCUUUCAGAUGGCCACUUCACCGUGUCCUCCCUCACAAGGCAGAGAGAGAGAGCAAGUGGUCUGGUGUUUCUUCUUGUAAGGGCAUUAGUCCCAUCGUGGAGGCACCACCCUCACGACCUCAUCGCACCCUGCUCACCGCCCAAAGGCCCGUCUCCCGGUGCUCUCGCACUGGGGGUCAGCGCCUGUGCUCUUCAGGGAGAGGUCACACCGUGAGCUCAGCGGGACCGAUAAAUGGCCGCGGAGCCCACCAGUCCGUGCUUUGAAUAGCUUCGCCCUACCGCAUUUUCUGUUAAUGGAAAUUCGUCACAGAAUGUCUACUCAGAGGAUUUGUCCUGCAUUUCAAAUGCUCUAAGGGGAGCUGGAAAAAGCAGUAGGAAUUCUUGAAACCUUGCCUUUCGUGUGAGUGCAAAAUUGCACGGACAACAGCAGAAUUCCAAAUAAUUUAUGCAAACACUCCGUCCUCAAGGGGUGGAACAUGUCUCCCCCCGUUAGGUGUGGGCUGUGCUGUGUGGCCGCUUCCACAGAGCACAGUAUGCAGACGGGGGAGGUAAGAGGGUCCCUUUGCAGCAGGGAAACCUGGUACACAGAGGGAAACAAGUGACCAUGUUAACGCCGUCACUGAGACGUCCAGUCGAUGACACAGGCCCUCGAUGUGUUGUGUUGAGAAGGGCGCUUCCUCUCUGUGGUUUUGUUCCCCCGAAACCCAUAACCCCAGUCUAACCGUGAGCAAAAAAAGCAUCAGCCAAACUCGCAAAUUGAGAGACAGUCUGCGAAAUACCUGACCAGAACUCUUCAACACUGUCCGGGUCGUCAGAAGCAAAGAAAGUCAGAGAAACUGUCCCAGCCCCACGGAGCCUAAGGGGACAUGAGGACUAAACGUGACAUGAUGUUGUAAUGGGUUGAACUGUGUCCCCCAAAAGAUACUUCUGAGUCCUAAGCCCCGAUGCCUGUGGAUACGACCUUAUUUGGAAAUAGGGUCUCACAGCUGUAAUGAAGUCUCUCAAGAUGGGAUUAUCCCGGAUUUAGCGUGGGCUCCAAGUCCAGUUACUGGUGUCUUUAUAAGAGAAAGGAGAGGGAGAUUUGAGACACACGGGCACAGCGACGCACAAUGAAGGCCGAGAAAUGAUGGAGGCAGAGACUGGAGUGACCAGCUCCAGGACGUAGCCCCCGAUGGUGACAAGCGAGGCAGCACGUGGAGCCACCAGGAGUGGGAGAGGCAUGGAAGGGGCCUCCUUAGAGCCUUUUGGGGGAGCGUGCCCUGCUGGUUUCAGACUAGGGCCUCCGGAACUGUGCGAGAAUGAAUUUCUGUUGUUUUUAGCCACCGAAUCUGUGGUAAUUUGUUCCUGCAGCCCCAAGAAACCAGUACCAGUAUCUUGGAUGAGAUCCUGGAACAGAAAAAUGACAUAGGGAAAACCAAAUGAGGUCCAAAUAAAGUAUGGAGUUUAGUUAAUAACGUGUUAACAUCGGUUCAUUAGUUUCGAGAAUGUACCGUAGUGGUGUAAGAUGUUAACGAUAGAGGAAACUGGGUGAGGGGUAUAUGGGAACUCUGCAUUAUUUGUGCAGUCUAUUUGUAAAUACAAAACUAUUUUCAAAUUUAAAAGUUUAUUUAAAAAACUGCAUGGAAAAAAACCUGCGUUGACCCACAUGCAGUGUAACGUGAUUCAGCCCCUGGGGGGCUCUAUCCCGGAUGUGCGUGUCUCAGUGGGCAGCCCACCAAUGGGCUGCGUUUCCUCCCUUCCCACCCACUGCCUUUUCUCAUGGCCCUGCUCUCCCCUCUGCCAGCCCCUCACUUUGAUUCAAGCAUGUGCCUUCAGCUGAAUGUGAAUUAGUCCUGCCCUCUUUAAACCACAUGAAGAGCAGCAUCUGCUUGAAAUUACUUUUGACUCAGAAUUAGUGAGCCCUGAGUUUGGACAGGACCCUAAAUGUCAUUUUAAUGGUGUCUGCCCCUCCCGACUUUUCUGAGAAGUUUUACACCCCCGCAUGGAGGGGCUCUGACCCCAGGCUUUCACGAUUGAAUCACGGGACUCCACCCCCCGCCCCUCGCCCAUUGAACUAGGACUGAAUGCCUGACUCAGGGGAAGCCAAGUCCACAGUCUUGCCAAUGGCCUUUCAGACCCUCGAGAAAGGAUUUGAACUAAAAAACCCAGAAACGGAGAGCUGGGAGCUGAGUCACCACCGGGGGCUGGCUUGGAGCUGGUCUCUUUACCACCCUUCCUGCAGCCCAGUUGCUCAACUUUUCCUCAGAUUUGAUGACAGCUGAAUUCUUUCGAAAAAUCCCCUCUAACCUGAGCUCAGGGGAGAGAUUCCUCUUCCUUUGUAGUCGAAAGGAUACUGCCUGGGAUAGCCACUUCAUUAAAUCCCCCAUUCGGCCUGGAAUCAAGUGUCCAUCCACCAUUUGCUUGAAUACCAUCAAAACAAGAGUCUCACUCCCUCUUCUUGCAACUUCCUAAGAAGGUUCUUUUUGAUUUUGCAUCAGAAAGUGUUCCCCUGUCAUCCCAGCGUUGCCAUUCUGGGCUAUUCAGAACAAGUCCCAGCUGGUGUGUGUAUUUUUAUUGUUCUUUUUAAACUUACCAAAGUAAUGCUUGCUCAUUAUUUUUAAGAAGUCAAACCUUGAGCCAGCCCUGAUGGCCUAGUGGUGAAAGUUGGGUGCUCUCACAGCUUCAGUGGUCCCCAGUUCUUACUUCCUGGUCAAGGAACCACACCACCCAUCUGUCAGUUGCCAUGCUGUGGGGGUGGCUCACGUAGAAGAAAC
Molecule: non-coding RNA, 6603 nt
Organism: Equus caballus (horse)
Lineage: Eukaryota; Metazoa; Chordata; Mammalia; Perissodactyla; Equidae
Source: RefSeq, a predicted model, not a curated record